CUACGGGGGGCACCAGUGGGGAAUAUUGCACAAUGGGCGCAAGCCUGAUGCAGCCAUGCCGCGUGUAUGAAGAAGGCCUUCGGGUUGUAAAGUACUUUCAGCGGGGAGGAAGGGAGUAAAGUUAAUACCUUUGCUCAUUGACGUUACCCGCAGAAGAAGCACCGGCUAAGUCCGUGCCAGCAGCCGCGGUAAUACGGAGGGUGCAAGCGUUAAUCGGAAUUACUGGGCGUAAAGCGCACGCAGGCGGUAUGUUAAGUCAGAUGUGAAAUCCCCGGGCUCAACCUGGGAACUGCAUCUGAUACUGGCAAGCUUGAGUCUCGUAGAGGGGGGUAGAAUUCCAGGUGUAGCGGUGAAAUGCGUAGAGAUCUGGAGGAAUACCGGUGGCGAAGGCGGCCCCCUGGACGAAGACUGACGCUCAGGUGCGAAAGCGUGGGGAGCAAACAGGAUUAGAUACCCCCGUAGUC
Molecule: ribosomal RNA, 464 nt
Filed under: uncultured bacterium
Lineage: Bacteria
Description: partial 16S ribosomal RNA
Rfam family: Bacterial small subunit ribosomal RNA
Source: RNAcentral